RNAcentral lists this signal recognition particle RNA (99 nucleotides) under Rhodocyclaceae bacterium. RNAcentral describes it as "signal recognition particle sRNA small type". It matches the Rfam family "Bacterial small signal recognition particle RNA". Rfam says of the family: The signal recognition particle (SRP) is a universally conserved ribonucleoprotein involved in the co-translational targeting of proteins to membranes. Archaeal SRP consists of a 7S RNA and homologues of the eukaryotic SRP19 and SRP54 proteins. Lineage: Bacteria; Pseudomonadati; Pseudomonadota; Betaproteobacteria; Rhodocyclales; Rhodocyclaceae. The record is from RNAcentral.
GGCGGGUCUCCCCGCAUUGUGGCGCGAGAACCUGGUCAGGUCCGGGAAGGAAGCAGCCACAGCCGAUGUCCGCAAGUGCCGGGGGUCAGGCUCGCCACC